CCUACGGGAGGCAGCAGUAAGGAAUCUUGCGCAAUGGGCGAAAGCCUGACGCAGCGACGCCGCGUGGGCGAUGAAGGCCUUCGGGUUGUAAAGCCCUUUUCUGGGGGACGAGGAAGGACGGUACCCCAGGAAUAAGUCACGGCUAACUACGUGCCAGCAGCCGCGGUAAAACGUAGGUGGCAAGCGUUGUCCGGAAUCAUUGGGCGUAAAGAGCGCGUAGGCGGCUUGCCAGGUCCGAUGUGAAAGCCUGGGGCUUAACUCCAGAACUGCAUCGGAAACCGGCUUGCUAGAGUCUGGGAGAGGGGAGUGGAAUUCCUGGUGUAGCGGUGAAAUGCGUAGAUAUCAGGAGGAACACCGGUAGCGAAGGCGGCUCCCGGGAACAGUACUGACGCUGAGGCGCGAAAGCUAGGGGAGCAAACAGGAUUAGAUACCCGGGUAGU
Molecule: ribosomal RNA, 440 nt
Filed under: uncultured Thermoleophilia bacterium
Lineage: Bacteria; Bacillati; Actinomycetota; Thermoleophilia
Description: partial 16S ribosomal RNA
Rfam family: Bacterial small subunit ribosomal RNA
Source: RNAcentral